RNAcentral lists this ribosomal RNA (582 nucleotides) under uncultured bacterium. RNAcentral's name for it is "partial 16S ribosomal RNA". It matches the Rfam family "Bacterial small subunit ribosomal RNA", at positions 355 to 932 of the family's 1533-position model. The record is from RNAcentral.
UGGGGAAUCUUCCGCAAUGGACGAAAGUCUGACGGAGCAACGCCGCGUGAGUGAAGAAGGUUUUCGGAUCGUAAAACUCUGUCUUUUGGGGCGAACGUGAGUAUGGUGAACAAUCAUAGUCAGUGACGGUACCAAAGGAGGAAGCCACGGCUAACUACGUGCCAGCAGCCGCGGUAAUACGUAGGUGGCAAGCGUUGUCCGGAAUUAUUGGGCGUAAAGAGCGCGUAGGCGGGAUAGUCAGUCUGUUGUAAAGUGCGGGGCUCAACCCCGUGAUCGCAAUGGAAACAGCUAUUCUUGAGUGCAGGAGAGGAAAGUGGAAUUCCCAGUGUAGCGGUGAAAUGCGUAGAUAUUGGGAGGAACACCAGUGGCGAAGGCGACUUUCUGGACUGUGUCUGACGCUGAGGCGCGAAAGCCAGGGGAGCGAACGGGAUUAGAUACCCCGGUAGUCCUGGCCGUAAACGAUGGGUACUAGGUGUGGGAGGUAUCGACCCCUUGCCGUGCCGGAGUUAACGCAAUAAGUACCCCGCCUGGGGAGUACGGUCGCAAGACUGAAACUCAAAUGAAUUGACGGGGUCAUAGCUG